Molecule: ribosomal RNA, 424 nt
Filed under: uncultured bacterium
Lineage: Bacteria
Description: partial 16S ribosomal RNA
Rfam family: Bacterial small subunit ribosomal RNA
Source: RNAcentral
AAUUUUGGACAAUGGGGGAAACCCUGAUCCAGCCAUCCCGCGUGUAUGAUGAAGGCCUUCGGGUUGUUUAGUACUUUUGGCAGCUAAGAAAAGGUAUCCCCUAAUACUGGAUACUGCUGACUGUAUCUGCUGAAUAAGCACCGGCUCACUACGUACCAUCAGCCGCGGUAAUACGUAGGGUGCAAGCGUUAAUCGGAAUUACUGGGCGUAAAGCGUGUGUAGGUGGUUCGGAAAGAAAGAUGUGAAAUCCAAGGGCUCAACCUUGGAACUGCAUUUUUAACUGCCGAGCUAGAGUAUGUCAGAGGGGGGUAGAAUUCCACGUGUAGCAGUGAAAUGCGUAGAUAUGUGGAGGAAUACCGAUGGCGAAGGCAGCCCCCUGGGAUAAUACUGACGCUCAGACACGAAAGCGUGGGGAGCAAACAGG